GUCUAUGGCCAUGCCACCCUGAACAAGCCCGAUCCUGUCUGAUCUCUGAGGUAAGCAGGAUCGGGCCUGGUUAGUACUUGGAUGGGAGACCACCUAGGAAGACCAGGUGCUGUAGGUG
Molecule: ribosomal RNA, 118 nt
Filed under: Pteropus alecto (black flying fox)
Lineage: Eukaryota; Metazoa; Chordata; Mammalia; Chiroptera; Pteropodidae
Also listed under: 1 other name
Source: RNAcentral